This 5987-nucleotide long non-coding RNA is filed under the name Triticum aestivum (bread wheat). RNAcentral's name for it is "long non-coding RNA (TAES_LNC003647)". The record is from RNAcentral. Lineage: Eukaryota; Viridiplantae; Streptophyta; Magnoliopsida; Poales; Poaceae.
GGUAACACAAUUUUAGAGAUGAAUGCAGAAAAUAAAACUACACUAAACAAGGUUGUUCCCAAUGAUCGUCGACAAAGAAAAUACAAAGAGCACAGGGAGACUCAGAUUUUACUCAUUGUCUUUUUGGUAUUUCCAUAAUGCUUGAGAAAUUAAAACACUAACAUAGACAAACAUCAAUGACAAACAGGAGUCAACAAGACAUGAACACAUAUAACUAUUGACAUGCAAAAGAGAGAAGAAACAAGAUUGUAUGACAGGGAAGAAUAUAUAUCAUAACACAAACAUAUAUAUUUUCACAUGGACAUAGUUAAACGCAGGAGCUACAGUACAUACAUAACCACACAUACGGGCACAAGGUACUACACCAAGGUUCAGGUUACACGAGUGACAAUACAAAUAGCAAUUACACACACACACACACACAUGUACACGCACAAAAUUGUUCUAGUUCUUGCAAAUCAACAGAAUACAUGCAGACAAGGACAAGUCCGAAUUUCACAAGAACCCACUCACAUCUAAUACAUAGAAAUUUCAGAGAGGGAAAGAGAACAGUAGCAAGUGUUGAAGAAGGAGAAAGUGAUUCAGAAGAAGCAGGGAAGCAGCGAGGUAGGCGAAGAAGAAGCAGCAGCAGAGGUACAGAGAGAAGGAGCAGCAAGAGAAGUUGGGGAGCGGCAGCAGGAAGUGAAGGGGAAGGAGCAGCAGGGGGACGUUGGGAGGAGGAGAGGUUCAGAGAAGAGCUUCGGCAAGGAAGAGCAGCAGGGGGCGCAGGAGAUGAAGAGCAGCAACAGCUUUAGGGGAAGCAGAGUAGGAGAAGCAGAGAGAGGAGCAGCAGCAGGGGCGUGGGAGAAGCAACGAGGCAGGGGAAUGAGCAGCAGCAGUCGGGCACAAGCAGAGGAGAGGACUUGCGCGGGGCACUAGACAACCACGACCUCUAGUCUGGUAGGGCGCGUGAGGUUGUGGUGGCUGGAUGUGAUGGCGCUGGUGGAUGGAUGGGUUGCGGUAGCGCGGAUGGAGAUGAUGCGGCGUAGUGGAGUAGGUGGAGGUGCUGGGUGGUGCGCCGCCACGCCGGCCUGGCCGCGGCGGCGGCCGGAGGUGGAAGAAGGAGGCGUGGGAAAGAGGGGAUGGAGAUGCCAGGCACGAUCGGAUCCCUCCAGCGCCUAGGGAUUUUGUUCCCCUCCUCUGGUCUGCACUUUGUGAUUUGGCCCUCUUUCUUCUCUUCUUUCUUCACAAGAAGGUCCUCCCACUUGUUUAUCUAGCCCCCUGGUUACUUGUCUUCAUCUCACACAAGUCUCUUCUUCCUUCUCUUCUCUUCUUCCUUCUCUUCUCUUCUUCACUCUUCUCGAUAGCCACAUAGACGGAAUCUUGACGAUUAUAGUGCCUUAGCGCACUUUUCUGCAAAAGAAGCAAGCCACAAGUAAAUGAUCCCUUUAUAUGAUUUUCAUUCAAAUAUGCAUUAAUUUAUAGCACGAAAUGAAUGAAUAUAUCUCAAUGAACCGUAUAUUUGAGGGACAAAAGAUGUAUACGAAAUAUGCUUAUCAAGUUCCCCCACACUUAAAUCUUUGCUUGUCCUCAAGCAAAGGAAAAAAAUUGAUGGUGACACAACUCACACUGCCUAGUAAAGUUGCACUUUCCGAUAGAUAGUAAUUCCGACAAUACUGGAACUAAGCAAAUGUACUCUACUGAAGCUAAAUUGUGAUAAGAAAUAUUUUAUAACACACUGUAAAUGUUCCAAGUCAAUGGCCUUGAGUCAAAGUGCAUCCUAAUAAUCAAGAGCUGGCUCUGUCUUCAGCCCUGAGCUAAGCUGGGACCCCAAAAUCAAAUAGAAAAACAAGUUACUUAUUGAAUUUAAAGCACAAAUGAUGAAAUUCUAUCAGUCUCACCAAAGGAACAUACCACCGAUCCCGAGAACAUGGUAUACACCUGGCUCGACCAAAUUAUUAGUAUAUUUUUUUUAUUAUCUCCCCAAAGGAACAUACCACCGAUCCCGAGAACAUGGUAUACACCUGGUUCGACAAAUUAUUAGUAUAUGUUUUUUUUAUUAUCUCCCCAAAGGAACAUACCACCGAUCCCGAGAACAUGGUAUACACCUGGUUCGACAAAUUAUAGCACUUUUUAUAUAAAAAAAAAAUUUACAGUCCAAUCUACCAGAUUUCACAAGCCACCGAUCCAGGGAACAUGACAUGCUACUGUAGGUCGAUCGGACUUAAAUUAUUAUAAUUAUUUUAUUUAGUUAUUUGAAAAUUACUUAGCUUAAGUAAAACAGGUAUAAUUGAAAGAGGAAUCCAUGGCUAAUGGCACUGUUUUUCACAGACUACAGAUCCAGAGAUCAUAGCUACUACUUAAGUGCCACCAGUUACUUAGCUUAACUUGGGACAGUCAGACACAUCACAUCAAUUCAUUAGAAGGUUUCACUUAGACUCAAGGCGUUCCCAUUGAACAUUUACAUGGAGGUAUAAAGUAUUCAUUAUCACAAAUUACCAUAAGAAGAAUACAACUGCAUAGUUUUAGUAUUAAGAGAAUCAACAAUCUUCUUGGAGUGAAUCCUACUUUGCAGUGAAAAGUAAGGUGUCACCAUGCAAAAAGAGUUUCAAUGCAAUUAAAUGCCAGUUCUCAUACUAAAUUUUCUAAAGGUUGCUUCAAGUGGAACAGAAUCACCUGGUAUUUGUAUACUCUUCUCUCCUACUUUCUUCUCUCCACUCUUCUCUGUUUGUGUUCCCUGUUUGUGCUCCCCUCAUCGCCAUGCUCUGACUCCACCAGGAUCCCAAGGAAUGUCACCUCGAACCUGGUCAGCAUGUAAUAAACAGUGCAGUAGCAAAAGCCUGAAAUAGGACUCACACAAACAACUACAAGUGAUACGGUCGAUGCCCUCCAAGUCAUCAAUGGAAUAUCCAAUUAUAUAAGCAUAACUAUAAAGCACAUGUUUAGGAUGGCAGAAAUCAGCAUGGUCAAUACUCACACGAGGAUGACAUUUAUCAUUAAGCUCAAGACUAGCAUGAGGAAAGUAAUUGUGAUCAUCACAAAUGAGAGCAAUGCCACUAACAGGGUAUAUAUCAUCAUAUCCAAGCAAAUGAGUUUUAAAAUCAAUCUUAAGUGAUGGUAUCAUGUAAUGCAAGGUGGUAGCAAAGAAAUCACAAGGCAUCAUGUCAUCAAGAGGAUUGAGUAAACCUGACACAUCACGCUCUGGUAUGAAUAUAGGCAAAUGAAUCUCAUGUUCUUCAUCUUCAUCUACAGCAGCUUCUUGUACUUCUUCAGGAGUAAUAGAUGAUGAGUCUUCAACUUGAUCACUUGGGAAUUGCAGCUCUUGACCAUCUUGUUCCUUGUCUUCUAGUUCAUCUUCUUCAAUCUGAGGUAUCUCUUGCUCAAGGCACUUGCUAUCUUGCUCAACGAAAUGUGAAGGUGUUGGAACCUCACAUGUAUCCAUGGAUAUCUCAGCCACACUCAACUCAAGUUGUGAAGAAAUAGUGCUGCCAGCGUUGAUGUUCUUCUCAAUCUUCCUUACUUCUUCCACUAGCUCUUUUCCACUCUUGAUCUUCUUCAUUUCAUCUAGUAUAACCUUCCUAAUAGGAUCAUCCUCAGCACUCCAAGUGAACUCGAGACUAAGCAAUGUGAGCUUCUCUAUAUCAUCAAAUUCAUCUUGUGUGGGCACUUGCACAUGAGAUUGCUCGAAAGGUGCUGGAGUUGUUGGUUGACCAAAUGGAGGACCAUUUAACUCCAUUGGACACAUCUACUGGUAUUGAGGUAUAUGAGUAGGAGGUGAAUAAAUCUGUUGUGGAGCAUAGUUGUGGUUCUCCUCAUUGUACCUAAAUCCCUGCAUUGGAUAACUAGAGGCAAACGAUGAGAUCUCAGGGUUAUUGCUCCUAUAUGACAUAUUCUGGUUUUCAGGCCACCCAUGUGUGUAAUUGUUUUGGUAUGAGCUAGGCUGUGGGGCGAAGCUCAUGCCAUAACAAUCAGGAGGGUGAGAGUAACCACGCUGACAUUCAGCGGGUGAAUGGCCCUGAAAUCCACAAAUAUGGCAUGUAGGAGCAACAUAAGGAUGACCUCUAGAAUAAGGAUCAUAAGAGCUAGGCCUAUCCUCAAAAACUACCUCUCGCUGCCGAGCUAAAUCAUCUAAUUGAUGGGAAAUCUUAUUUAUCAGUUCUUGAAUACUUUCCGUGUUGUUUGUAGUGUUGCUCGCAUAAGCAUGAUGAUAUGAAUAGAAUGCCAUUUCCGAGAGGAUAAUCCAACCUGCAAAAAGGAAAAGAAGACAAAAAGAUACUAACUAGAACAGGGGUUAGUGGCUAGAGAUAUAUCACAAAUAUAUAAAGCACAAAAAGGAAACAAGCUAAACCUAGUCUAAAGCCUAGCACAAUCGCUCGAGGCUAGUCCCCGGCAACGGCGCCAAAUUGAUCGUAUGUAAUAUAGCAGGGUUUUUUACGCCCCAAACUACGGAUGUCGUGUUCUCCACAGGGACUAGGCGACGAUGACUAUGCUCGGCUAAAGCUAGGUAACACAAUUUUAGAGAUGAAUGCAGAAAAUAAAACUACACUAAACAAGGUUGUUCCCAAUGAUCGUCGACAAAGAAAAUACAAAGAGCACAGGGAGACUCAGAUUUUACUCAUUGUCUUUUUGGUAUUUCCAUAAUGCUUGAGAAAUUAAAACACUAACACAGACAAACAUCAAUGACAAACAGGAGUCAACAAGACAUGAACACAUAUAACUAUUGACAUGCAAAAGAGAGAAGAAACAAGAUUGUAUGACAGGGACAAAUAUAUAUCAUAACACAAACAUAUAUAUUUUCACAUGGACAUAGUUAAAUGUAGGAGGUACAGUACAUACAUAACCACACAUACGGGCACAAGGUACUACACCAAGGUUCAGGUUACACGAGUGACAAUACAAACAGAAAUUACACACACACACACACACACACACACACACACACACACACACAUGUACACGCACAAAAUUGUUCUAGUUCUUGCAAAUCAACAGAAUACAUCCAGACAAGGACAGGUCCGAAUUUCACAGGAACCCACUCACAUCUAAUACAUAGAAAUUUCAGAGAGGGGGAGAGAACAGUAGCAAGUGUUGAAGAAGGAGAAAGUGAUUCAGAAGAAGCAGGGAAGCAGCGAGGUAGGCGAAGAAGAAGCAGCAGCAGAGGUACAGAGAGAAGGAGCAACAAGAGAAGUUGGGGAGCGGCAGCAGGAAGUGAAGGGGAAGGAGCAGCAGGGGGACGUUGGGAGGAGGAGAGGUUCAGAGAAGAGCUUCGGCAAGGAAGAGCAGCAGGGGGCGCAGGAGAUGAAGAGCAGCAACAGCUUUAGGGGAAGCAGAGUAGGAGAAGCAGAGAGAGGAGCAGCAGCAGGGGCGUGGGAGAAGAAACGAGGCAGGGGAAUGAGCAGCAGCAGUCGGGCACAAGCAGAGGAGAGGACUUGCGCGGGGCACUAGACAACCACGACCUCUAGUCUGGUAGGGCGCGUGAGGUUGUGGUGGCUGGAUGUGAUGGCGCUGGUGGAUGGAUGGGUUGCGGUAGCGCGGAUGGAGAUGAUGCGGCGUAGUGGAGUAGGUGGAGGUGCUGGGUGGUGCGCCGCCACGCCGGCCUGGCCGCGGCGGCGGCCGGAGGUGGAAGAAGGAGGCGUGGGAAAGAGGGGAUGGAGAUGCCAGGCACGAUCGGAUCCCUCCAGCGCCUAGGGAUUUUGUUCCCCUCCUCUGGUCUGCACUUUGUGAUUUGGCCCUCUUUCUUCUCUUCUUUCUUCACAAGAAGGUCCUCCCACUUCUUUAUCUAGCCCCCUGGUUACUUGUCUUCAUAUCACACAAGUCUCUUCUUCCUUCUCUUCUCUUCUUCCUUCUCUUCUCUUCUUCACUCUUCUCGAUAGCCACAUAGACGAAAUAUUGACGAUUAUAGUGCCUUAGCGCACUUUUCUGCAAAAGAAGCAAGCCACAAGUAAAUGAUCCCUUUAUAUGAUUUUCAUUCAAAUAUGCAUUAAUUUAUAGCACGAAAUGAAUGAAUA